CUGGUUUUCUCUUUGGUCUUCCAGAUUUUUAUUGGAAUUCUGAGAUCAUUGUGAAAACUAAUC
This 63-nucleotide microRNA precursor is filed under the name Capitella teleta. RNAcentral's name for it is "Cte-Bantam_pre stem-loop". Lineage: Eukaryota; Metazoa; Annelida; Polychaeta; Capitellidae. The record is from RNAcentral.